AGCGGCGGAUGGGUGAGUAACACGUGGGGAACCUGCCCCUAAGUCUGGGAUACCAUUUGGAAACAGGUGCUAAUACCGGAUAAUAAAGCAGAUCGCAUGAUCAGCUUUUGAAAGGCGGCGUAAGCUGUCGCUAAGGGAUGGCCCCGCGGUGCAUUAGCUAGUUGGUAAGGUAACGGCUUACCAAGGCGACGAUGCAUAGCCGAGUUGAGAGACUGAUCGGCCACAUUGGGACUGAGACACGGCCCAAACUCCUACGGGAGGCAGCAGUAGGGAAUCUUCCACAAUGGACGCAAGUCUGAUGGAGCAACGCCGCGUGAGUGAAGAAGGUUUUCGGAUCGUAAAGCUCUGUUGUUGGUGAAGAAGGAUAGAGGUAGUAACUGGCCUUUAUUUGACGGUAAUCAACCAGAAAGUCACGGCUAACUACGUGCCAGCAGCCGCGGUAAUACGUAGGUGGCAAGCGUUGUCCGGAUUUAUUGGGCGUAAAGCGAGCGCAGGCGGAAAAAUAAGUCUAAUGUGAAAGCCCUCGGCUUAACCGAGGAACUGCAUCGGAAACUGUUUUUCUUGAGUGCAGAAGAGGAGAGUGGAACUCCAUGUGUAGCGGUGGAAUGCGUAGAUAUAUGGAAGAACACCAGUGGCGAAGGCGGCUCUCUGGUCUGCAACUGACGCUGAGGCUCGAAAGCAAGGGUAGCGAACAGGAUUAGAUACCCUGGUAGUCCAUGCCGUAAACGAUGAGUGCUAAGUGU
Molecule: ribosomal RNA, 743 nt
Filed under: uncultured bacterium
Lineage: Bacteria
Description: bacterial SSU rRNA
Rfam family: Bacterial small subunit ribosomal RNA
Source: RNAcentral